This 498-nucleotide long non-coding RNA is filed under the name Homo sapiens (human). RNAcentral describes it as "HSALNT0311926". The record is from RNAcentral. Lineage: Eukaryota; Metazoa; Chordata; Mammalia; Primates; Hominidae.
AGAGCAUUGGCUUGGAUUGGCCUGACUCAUCCCAUCCUCGAACCAAUCCCGGGGGCUAGGGGAGUGGAGGAAGCCAACUGGUCAUGCGCUGUAGCCCCAGACUCGGGUAGGGAGUCAGUGUCACUGGUUGACAAUAAGGAAGGGAAGAGAAGUGGUCCUCAAAUGAAAAUUAGGAUGUUAUCAUAGAAAGGAAGAGUGGAUGCUGCAGAGGAAAGAUAACAAAUGACUAUUACAAUGGUGUAAAAGGAAACCCAUAGAGAAGAAAGAUGACAGAAUGUCCCCACCUCAAAGGCCAGCUCCAGUUGAUUGCUCGUGGCUCUCUGGAAUGUCACAUUGAGAAAGUGUCUGAGACUAAGCCAAAGAAAAAUACAGUGUCAUAAUGGAUUAGAAAUGUCUGCCACGUGCUACAAAACUGUUGACUGCUAGGCCUUGGUGUCGUGACAAGAGAGGCCAUCCAAUGGUGAAAUUUUUGGAGAAGUGGGUCAUCGUGAAUGUAGG